Molecule: ribosomal RNA, 403 nt
Filed under: Verrucomicrobiota bacterium
Lineage: Bacteria; Pseudomonadati; Verrucomicrobiota
Description: Verrucomicrobia bacterium partial 16S ribosomal RNA
Rfam family: Bacterial small subunit ribosomal RNA
Source: RNAcentral
UGGGGAAUAUUGCACAAUGGGGGAAACCCUGACGCAGCGACGCCGCGUGAGCGAAGAAGGUUUUCGAAUCGUAAAGCUCUGUCCUAUGAGAAGAUAAUGACGGUAUCAUAGGAGGAAGCCCCGGCUAAAUACGUGCCAGCAGCCGCGGUAAUACGUAAGGUCCGAGCGUUGUCCGGAAUCAUUGGGCGUAAAGGGUACGUAGGCGGAUAAGCAAGUUAGAAGUGAAAUCCUAUAGCUCAACUAUAGUAAGCUUUUAAAACUGCUCAUCUUGAGGUAUGGAAGGGAAAGUGGAAUUCCUAGUGUAGCGGUGAAAUGCGCAGAUAUUAGGAGGAAUACCGGUGGCGAAGGCGACUUUCUGGCCAUAUACUGACGCUGAGGUACGAAAGCGUGGGUAGCAAACAGG